Molecule: ribosomal RNA, 254 nt
Filed under: uncultured bacterium
Lineage: Bacteria
Description: partial 16S ribosomal RNA
Rfam family: Bacterial small subunit ribosomal RNA
Source: RNAcentral
UACGUAGGGGGCGAGCGUUGUCCGGAUUCAUUGGGCGUAAAGGGCGCGUAGGCGGAUACUUAAGUCGGGGGUGAAAGCCCAGGGCUCAACCCUGGAACAGCCUUCGAUACUGGGUAUCUUGAGUACGGGAGAGGUGUGUGGAACUCCGAGUGUAGAGGUGAAAUUCGUAGAUAUUCGGAAGAACACCAGUGGCGAAGGCGACACACUGGCCCGUUACUGACGCUGAGGCGCGAAAGCGUGGGGAGCAAACAGGG